RNAcentral lists this ribosomal RNA (497 nucleotides) under uncultured bacterium. Its description in RNAcentral is "partial 16S ribosomal RNA". It matches the Rfam family "Bacterial small subunit ribosomal RNA", at positions 28 to 507 of the family's 1533-position model. The record is from RNAcentral.
GAUGAACGCUGGCGGCGUGCCUAAUACAUGCAAGUCGAGCGAACAGACGAGGAGCUUGCUCCUCUGACGUUAUCGGCGGACGGGUGAGUAACACGUGGAUAACCUACCUAUAAGACUGGGAUAACUUCGGGAAACCGGAGCUAAUACCGGAUAAUAUAUUGAACCGCAUGGUUCAAUAGUGAAAGACGGUUUUGCGUUCACUUAUAGAUGGAUCCGCGCCGCAUUAGCUAGUUGGUAAGGUAACGGCUUACCAAGGCAACGAUGCGUAGCCGACCUGAGAGGGUGAUCGGCCACACUGGAACUGAGACACGGUCCAGACUCCUACGGGAGGCAGCAGUAGGGAAUCUUCCGCAAUGGGCGAAAGCCUGACGGAGCAACGCCGCGGGAGUGAUGAAGGUCUUCGGAUCGUAAAACUCUGUUAUUAGGGAAGAACAAAUGUGUAAGUAACUAUGCACGUCUUGACGGUACCUAAUCAGAAAGCCACGGCUAACUACGUG